AUCACUUCUCGGCCUUUUGGCUAAGAUCAAGUGUAGUAUCUGUUCUUAUCAGUUUAAUAUCUAAUAUGUCCUCGGAUAGACAAUAUAUUAAAUGGAUUUUUGGAGCUUGGAGUUGGAAUAGGAGCUUGCUCCGUCCACUCCACACAUCAACCUGGUAUUUCAGUACUUCCAGGAAUGGUACACCCCCU
This 188-nucleotide small nuclear RNA is filed under the name Jaculus jaculus (lesser Egyptian jerboa). Its description in RNAcentral is "U2 spliceosomal RNA (ENSJJAG00000005160.1)". It matches the Rfam family "U2 spliceosomal RNA". Rfam says of the family: U2 is a small nuclear RNA (snRNA) component of the spliceosome (involved in pre-mRNA splicing). The record is from Rfam by way of RNAcentral. Lineage: Eukaryota; Metazoa; Chordata; Mammalia; Rodentia; Dipodidae.